UACGAGGGGAGCAAGCGUUAUUCGGAAUUACUGGGCGUAAAGCGCGUGAAGGCGGCGUGUUAAGUCGAUUGUUAAAUCUUGCAGCUUAACUGCAAGGCUGCGAUUGAUACUGGCAUGCUAGAGUUUGGAAGAGAGAAGUGGAAUUCUCGGAGUAGCGGUAAAAUGCGUAGAUCUCGAGAGGAACACCGAUGGCGAAGGCAGCUUCUUGGUCCAUGACUGACGCUCAAACGCGAAGGCGUGGGGAGCAAACAGG
This 253-nucleotide unclassified non-coding RNA is filed under the name uncultured bacterium. RNAcentral's name for it is "contains 16S-23S intergenic spacer region". It matches the Rfam family "Bacterial small subunit ribosomal RNA", at positions 524 to 776 of the family's 1533-position model. The record is from RNAcentral.